This is a long non-coding RNA of Folsomia candida, 2566 nucleotides long. RefSeq lists it as uncharacterized. The record is from RefSeq and is a predicted model, not a curated record. Lineage: Eukaryota; Metazoa; Arthropoda; Collembola; Entomobryomorpha; Isotomidae. The transcript has 2 exons.
UUACACUGGUGGGGUUUGCAUAAGUAAUUUUAACAUUGUUUGUUACGAUAGUUAUGAGAUUUUGAAAAUUGCGUCAUCGCAAACCACGUUACUACGGUUAACAUUUUUACUAAACUUGAACCCCUGCCUUUUACUAACAAUGCGAUAGUGUGAAGUGUCACCCUCCGAUUUGGUUGAAAUUUUGAAACCAUGUGGUCCAUGUCAAUACAAUCAGCAUUUCCGGCAGAUUGUGCAAUGGUUGGAAUUUCCCAAAAUAUUUUAGGACAAAGUUGAUUUUUACCGUGCGGAGGAAGCAAACUAAACUUCAAUUUUCCUCUCGGGCUAAGAAUCUCAUCUUUGUCAACUUUGCCCUCAAAUAUUUUGGAAAAUUCUCGCCAGAUCCACACAAACUGCCUGAAGAAAUGCUGAUUGUAUUGACAUGGACCACGUAAUUUCAAAAUGUCAACCAAAUCAGAGGCUUACACUUCACACGGUCGCAUUGUGAGUAAAACAAUUAAAAAAGUAAGUAUAUGUAUAUUUAUGUUGGUAUGUGUGUAUUUAUACAUAUAUGAUUAAAUAACUGCACAUCUUCACGCGCUAUAAAAUCAUUACAUAUUAGCCAUUAGCCAACGACCCAAAACCACGGGAAUGCGUAAAACUUAGGAGUAAACUGGUUCAUUCAUGAUUAGUAAGGUACCCUGCGUAAAGUCUGUCAUCGAUUUUGGACCGCGCAUACAUGGAUGAUCCAAUCAUGCUACAUUCCAUGUACUGCUAGAAACUUGGCAUUAAAUCAUUACUGAUCGGAUGAUUACCGACUCAACCGGCCCGGUAAUACAUACGAAAGUACAUCAUUAUCGUUUAGCAAGGCCGUGGUAAUGAAUAAUUUACCACUCACAAUUAAACAAGUCUCAAUCCGGUCGGAAGUUAGUACCAUACUCAAUACCAAUACGGAGAAGAUGUAUUACUCUACCAGAUUUUAAACUAGAAAUUCGAGGUUGUUGACAUAAUAUACUGCUAAGACCCCGAAAUCGGCAUACAUCUUUAACUAAUAAUAGCUGAUAUUGCACUUAUUGUAUGACAUGCAUGCGAGAGAACGUGGAGAUUACGUUUUAAUAGCCCAAGCCUUAUCAAUGCUGACGAGUGAAGACACGAAUCAAUGAAUGACUGAGUCAUCUUCUUGACCCAACGUUUAAUUCAUUACUUAUGUAAAGUUAGAUCUGUUUAGCAACUAGAUAACAUCAUACGACAUCCUGUUGUUUUUGUACAAUCGACAUUAUUGCGAACACUCGAUCUUUAUUCAAUCAUGGAACUUGGACUCCACACGACUAAAUUAAGUGAGAUGAUACAAUGUUGUUCUCAUUGGAAUAUUGGAAUGACCUACCCAUUUUUGUGUGAUAAUUGUGCAACGACGACCCACGUAAUGUACGGAUGAUAAUGAUAAUGUAGAAUUACUUGCCUUUUAAUUAAUCCACUUUUAAUUAUUACGACAACCACUUUUAGUUUAGCAAUCCUGAAUUGUGCAGGAUUUUAGUUUAGUUACGAGUUGAGAGUGAAGAUGUGAACUACUUCUUUUCUCAUUUAAUAAAUCAUCCAAUACAGCCUCAACGGGAAUGUGAGACUAAUAAUUAUUACGGGUACUUUGUAUAAAACCCCACAAGAAUCAGUGCAUCAAUUUUGUGUGUUAACAAUACGUACGUUCCCUAAAUAUUGACAUCGUGAAAUCGCAUACUGUGCUAUAUUACUGAAUUAUUCAUAACAGCCCAACUCCUCCCCCAUCUCCACCCACUCUUUCACCCUGGCCACUCUCGCCCUCUCCAGACUUCCCCCCAUGGCGGCAUACCCCACCAAAUUUGGAAAUAUUGCUGCAACCCUGUCCCAAAAUUCGGACGAGUCCCUCUCCUCGCCACACUCGCACAAACCUGUCGGCCCCUUACUACAUCCCGAACUUCUCCUCCUCUUCUUAAUCACGCUAAACUUGUCCCCCGGGGGGAACGGGACGUCCAACUCUUUCACCGUCACCCCCCUUGAAUUUCCUUCCCGGAGGAACGAAUUGUACAAAAAUCUCGCGCUCGUCUCAAAAUAUUCGAGCCGACUUAAAUCCCCGACCUCUCUUUCAUUCCGGAAAAUCGCAAUCUUUUCCAAGGAGGGGAACUGUUCUCGGUAAUUAAAUGUAUCACGUUCCCCCUCAAACUUUAGCCUCAACCCAGGCAUAAAAUUGCAACACUGGCAGAAUAUCAGCCCGCUGAAGGAACUCUGCACGAUGGCGAAUAUCUUCAACUUUGGCAUGACGGGAAAAACAGCGUCCUUUCCGGUGUCAAAGUAGGACGGGAAAUUGGUCAGGUCGAAGAAUUUGAGGUGUUCCAAGGUGGGCGAGGAGAGGGUUAGAAGUUUUGAAAUGUGGGGGGUAAUACCGUCCUCAGCGGCCAAUUCUAACCGGGUGAGGGAAGUGGUGUUCGGUUUCGGUCCGAUAAGCGUUCCUGUUCGAGAAAUAGAUAUUAAUCUCUUUAAUUCAAAAAUUGGGAAAAAAUAUUCAUUCAUUAUUCAUUCAUGCAAAUGGUGGAAGUUUGAAAUUAAAUAUUUUUAUUCA